UACGAAGGGGGCUAGCGUUGUUCGGAAUUACUGGGCGUAAAGCGCACGUAGGCGGAUUGUUAAGUGAGGGGUGAAAUCCCAGGGCUCAACCCUGGAACUGCCUCUCAUACUGGCAAUCUUGAGUUCGAGAGAGGUGAGUGGAAUUGCGAGUGUAGAGGUGAAAUUCGUAGAUAUUCGCAGGAACACCAGUGGCGAAGGCGGCUCACUGGCUCGAUACUGACGCUGAGGUGCGAAAGCGUGGGGAGCAAACAGG
RNAcentral lists this ribosomal RNA (253 nucleotides) under uncultured bacterium. Its description in RNAcentral is "partial 16S ribosomal RNA". It matches the Rfam family "Bacterial small subunit ribosomal RNA", at positions 524 to 776 of the family's 1533-position model. The record is from RNAcentral.